CCCUUUGUCAGGAUUAUUUCCAAAAGAUCAGUUCCUGCUUUUGAAUCACAAACCUCCGCUUGGUGGCUGAGAUGCCAUCUGAGAGACCUGACAGGGUGGUCGUUGGCGGUGGUCAACAUCCCGAGACGUCUCGGUUUGGGACAAACAACCGGAUCUCUCCUGUCCGAGACGCAGCUCCGUAUCUCUUCGCGGGUAGAGAAAGCGCUUGGAUGGAUAGCAC
This 220-nucleotide unclassified non-coding RNA is filed under the name Hevea brasiliensis (rubber tree). The record is from RNAcentral. Lineage: Eukaryota; Viridiplantae; Streptophyta; Magnoliopsida; Malpighiales; Euphorbiaceae.